RNAcentral lists this long non-coding RNA (683 nucleotides) under Triticum aestivum (bread wheat). RNAcentral's name for it is "long non-coding RNA (TAES_LNC022812)". Lineage: Eukaryota; Viridiplantae; Streptophyta; Magnoliopsida; Poales; Poaceae. The record is from RNAcentral.
AAUUUGGGGAGAGAUGGAGAACAUGGAGCCUUGGGUACCUGAAGUAGAUCCUUCCUUAAGCGUCAGAUGCCUUCUGGUUCAUAGGUAAAUCAUGAAGCAAAACUUUGUUGCUUGUUCAUUUUUUUCUCGAUGAAGCAAGAUGGUCUGCAUUUGAAAAGUAGAAGAAUAUAAAAUAGGGAUGGUUAAAACAAUCGCUCAUGUUUCGAUUUGAUGGUUAAAACAAUGUUAAAAUAGGAUCGUUUUGUGCUCGCUUCGCAUAUUAAUUCUAUUAGGCUUAGCGGUAAAUGAAUGCACAAGCUCUUUAAGAGACCCAAAAGAGAAAAUCGAAAACUAUUACAUAUGUCUAUCUGUCCAAAUAACAUAAAUCGAGACUUCUAUCUUGCCAAAACUUCUUAUUAUUGUGUUCAUUUUCUUCUUAUUGUUUACAUGUCACCUCUUUGUUGGUUGUUGUUUGGUGCCAAGGCCAUUAGAAAAGAGUAAUGCCUCAAACAAGGUAGUUCUGAAGAUAGAACUCAGUGUAGCUACCAUCGAUGAUGCUUUCCAGCAAGCUCCUGGGUGACUACUCGAUGCCGACCAUUGUUGGUUUCCUUCAUGGCUAUUGUAAAAUGGUGAUUCAUAUAUCACAUGCUCUUUACUGGUAUUGGCAUGCCUGUAUCACUUCACUUUUGUUCCUUUCUUAGGGG